CAGUCGCCGCGGGAAUACGUAGGGUGCGAGCGUUGUCCGGAAUUACUGGGCGUAAAGAGCUCGUAGGCGGUUUGUCGCGUCGUCUGUGAAAUUCUGCAGCUUAACUGUAGGCGUGCAGGCGAUACGGGCAGACUUGAGUACUACAGGGGAGACUGGAAUUCCUGGUGUAGCGGUGAAAUGCGCAGAUAUCAGGAGGAACACCGGUGGCGAAGGCGGGUCUCUGGGUAGUAACUGACGCUGAGGAGCGAAAGCGUGGGUAGCGAACAGGAUUAGAUACCCCAGUAGUCCCUGUCUCUUAUAC
This 301-nucleotide ribosomal RNA is filed under the name uncultured bacterium. RNAcentral's name for it is "partial 16S ribosomal RNA". It matches the Rfam family "Bacterial small subunit ribosomal RNA", at positions 509 to 807 of the family's 1533-position model. The record is from RNAcentral.